CACGUAGGCGGAUAUUUAAGUCAGGGGUGAAAUCCCAGAGCUCAACUCUGGAACUGCCUUUGAUACUGGGUAUCUUGAGUAUGGAAGAGGUAAGUGGAAUUCCGAGUGUAGAGGUGAAAUUCGUAGAUAUUUGGAGGAACACCAGUGGCGAAGGCGGCUUACUGGUCCAUUACUGACGCUGAGGUGCGAAAGCGUGGGGAGCAAACA
Molecule: ribosomal RNA, 207 nt
Filed under: uncultured bacterium
Lineage: Bacteria
Description: partial 16S ribosomal RNA
Rfam family: Bacterial small subunit ribosomal RNA
Source: RNAcentral